RNAcentral lists this non-coding RNA (194 nucleotides) under Candidatus Zhuqueibacterota. Its description in RNAcentral is "Candidate division GlcN6P sequence". It matches the Rfam family "glmS glucosamine-6-phosphate activated ribozyme aptamer". Rfam says of the family: This entry contains a glucosamine-6-phosphate activated ribozyme that is found in the mRNA for GlmS. GlmS is an enzyme that uses fructose-6-phosphate and glutamine to generate glucosamine-6-phosphate. The ribozyme catalyses self cleavage of the glmS mRNA that is thought to regulate GlmS activity. Lineage: Bacteria; Pseudomonadati. The record is from RNAcentral.
AAUUGACAAUUAGCGGCUGGGUCUGAAUUAUAAGUUAAUUCGGAUUACGAGGAGAAGGUUUUUCCGACAUAUACAUGUAUAUGUCUGGAGAGAAAAUCGGAUUAUCAGCGGAUGCCUUCAGGUUGUUUUUUGCCAACCUAAAAAAUUAUUAAAAACUGGAGAAAUUCCAGGGACAAAAAUAAUUAUUGCAAAGU